RNAcentral lists this unclassified non-coding RNA (479 nucleotides) under Hevea brasiliensis (rubber tree). The record is from RNAcentral. Lineage: Eukaryota; Viridiplantae; Streptophyta; Magnoliopsida; Malpighiales; Euphorbiaceae.
CUCCCCUACUUCUAUUUGCACAUGUCUCAUGAUUCUGUUACACCAGCUGGCACCUCAGCAUGUUUCUUACCUUCACAAUUCCUUCUAUUCCUUCUGUUAACCUUCUCUUCUAGAAUACUCCAUUGCAUAUCCCUAUUAGCACGCCUUUCUAGAGCCUUGCAUCUGGAACAAAGUGCAUGCCUAGGCGCAUAAGGUGAGGGCCUGGUUAAUGUUACUCAUCUUUCUCCUGUGGAGGCGUUAGGAUUAGAGCCUAGUAAGCCAAGAACCUGAAGCUCUUUAAUAACUAUGCAUGCAACAAAAGAUAGAAGAUGUGUGUAUCAACCAAUUCUUGUGUGCCAACAAAUAACAAUAUGUUUACAAAGAAGAUUUGGAGGAGAAUGCUUGGAACCGAUUAGGUACAAUAGGCAUCAAUGAAAUAGUGACUACCGGAAAAGUGGUGCGUAUGGCUAUGAUGAGAGGGUUUUUCCAACCAUAACUCA